This is a non-coding RNA of Agrilus planipennis (emerald ash borer), 73 nucleotides long. Lineage: Eukaryota; Metazoa; Arthropoda; Insecta; Coleoptera; Buprestidae. The record is from Rfam.
GCUCUAGUAGCUUAGUGGUUAGAGCAUUGGUGCGUAAAUCCAAAGGUCCCAGGUUCGAUUCCCGGCGAGGGUG